CCCUUAGACGUUCUGGGCCGCACGCGCGCUACACUGACCAGUGCAACAAGCAUCCGUCCUUGGCCGACAGGCCCGGGCAAUCUUUGAACGGUGGUCGUGAUGGGGAUAGACUUUUGCAAUUUUUGGUCUUCAACGAGGAAUUCCUAGUAAACGCAAGUCAUCAACUUGCAUUGAUUACGUCCCUGCCCUUUGUACACACCGCCCGUCGCACCUACCGAUUGAAUGGUCCGGUGAAGCCUCCGGAUUGGCGCGCACCUCGGUGCCGCCGAGAAGUUGGCUAAACCUUACCAUUUAGAGGAAGGUGAAGUCGUAACA
RNAcentral lists this ribosomal RNA (315 nucleotides) under uncultured eukaryote. RNAcentral describes it as "partial 18S ribosomal RNA". It matches the Rfam family "Eukaryotic small subunit ribosomal RNA", at positions 1470 to 1796 of the family's 1831-position model. The record is from RNAcentral.